Columba livia (rock pigeon) is the source of this 1052-nucleotide long non-coding RNA. RefSeq lists it as uncharacterized. NCBI's taxonomy places the organism in Eukaryota, Metazoa, Chordata, Aves, Columbiformes, Columbidae. The transcript has 3 exons. The record is from RefSeq and is a predicted model, not a curated record.
AGGUGCCUGCAGUACCUCCAGAAUGCGCACCCCAGGAGAGCUCCCCUGGGCAGAGCAGCUCUUCGCAGGAGGGGGAAGCACCAUCCCCCAGGAAGAGACCACACACCUGCGAAGAGGAGAGCGACGGCCCACCGCCCAAGAGAAGGCGAAUGCUGGCCGCAGACAGCUCAGCGAUGGACGACUGAGACAACCCAAGCAGGGUUGUAGAGGUGGCUGAAGACAUCACCCUCAUGCUGCCACCCGCUUGGCUCAGAUGGACGGUCUAGCAGGGGUUCCGAGAAAGAAGAUCACUUCUCGACCUUCCUGCAGAACUUUCACGUUUCUUUUCACAUGCCCGUUGGCAAUUUUCAGAUAGUUACAAUAGGGUUUUUAGCCAGUAGGGCAAGAGAGUUUGUUUGUUAGUUACUAACUAAGUUAGUAAGCUAGUUAGUAAGGUAGUAAGUUAGUUAGUUAGUUAGUUAGUUAGUUAGUUUCUAGUGUAGGUAGCUGUGUACUGAAUACAUUUCGUUCACAUCCCAGUUUUCACUUUCACGAUAUUUACAAAAGCGUUUUGAGCCAAUUUGGCAAGAGAGUUCGUAAGUUUAGUUUCUACUGUAGGUGUAGAUGUAGGUGUUCACUGUCAAGGCCCACUGAACUCGGCUCUCAUGCGACCGUCACUACUCUUCGUCUUCAAGUGAAGCGCCGCGUCAGAAGAGGAUGUGGUCCAAAGAAGGAUUUCUUUGGCCCCUAAGCACUUCAGGCUUUCUGAAAUCAAAUCUGAGCUAGCAGGAGAUGCAAACUGAUAAUAAUGGCUUCCACUUAGCCAACUCUUCUUCCUGUCGCUGAGCCAAGCGCACGAGUUGAGGCUCUCUGCAUUUUAAUACUGGCUCUCUUAUUUGGAGGGUCGUUGAGACCUUGGGAGUCACUCAAGGUAAUGGUUCCAAAUGAAGGGGGAAAAGUAAGGCAUGGAAGAGGUUUUCUUAUUUCUGGGAGACAUUCUGCAGAAAUGUCAGACUGCACACCUACAGAAAAGUGCUGGAACCGGUGUCUUUCUGUAAAAGUGAAUAAAUGCU